GAUGAAGAACGUAGCGAAAUGCGAUAAGUAGUGUGAAUUGCAGAAUUAAGUGAAUCAUCGAAUCUUUGAACGCACAUUGCGCCCCUUGGUAUUCCAUGGGGCAUGCCUGUUCGAGCGUCAUUUGUACCUUCAAGCUCUGCUUGGUGUUGGGUGUUUGUCUCGCCUCUGCGUGUAGACUCGCCUCAAAACAAUUGGCAGCCGGCGUAUUGAUUUCGGAGCGCAGUACAUCUCGCGCUUUGCACUCAUAACGACGACGUCCAAAAGUACAUUUUUACACUCUUGACCUCGGAUCAGGUAGGGAUACCCGCUGAACUUAAGCAUAUCAAUAAGCGAGGA
Molecule: unclassified non-coding RNA, 336 nt
Filed under: soil metagenome
Description: partial contains 5.8S ribosomal RNA, internal transcribed spacer 2, and large subunit ribosomal RNA
Rfam family: 5.8S ribosomal RNA (bases 1-120)
Source: RNAcentral